This 468-nucleotide ribosomal RNA is filed under the name uncultured bacterium. RNAcentral describes it as "bacterial SSU rRNA". It matches the Rfam family "Bacterial small subunit ribosomal RNA", at positions 34 to 518 of the family's 1533-position model. The record is from RNAcentral.
CGCUGGCGGCGUGCCUAACACAUGCAAGUCGAGCGAGGAGAUUCCUUCGGGAUGAUCCUAGCGGCGGACGGGUGAGUAACACGUGGGCAACCUGCCUCAUAGAGAGGAAUAGCCUUCCGAAAGGGAGAUUAAUACCUCAUAACAUUGCAGUUUCGCAUGGAACAGCAAUUAAAGGAGUAAUCCGCUAUGAGAUGGGCCCGCGGCGCAUUAGCUGGUUGGUGAGGUAACGGCUCACCAAGGCGACGAUGCGUAGCCGACCUGAGAGGGUGAUCGGCCACAUUGGGACUGAGACACGGCCCAGACUCCUACGGGAGGCAGCAGUGGGGAAUAUUGCACAAUGGGGGAAACCCUGAUGCAAGCAACGCCGCGUGAGUGAUGACGGCCUUCGGGUUGUAAAGCUCUGUCUUCAGGGACGAUAAUGACGGUACCUGAGGAGGAAGCCACGGCUAACUACGUGCCAGCCGCUGC